This 460-nucleotide ribosomal RNA is filed under the name uncultured bacterium. RNAcentral describes it as "partial 16S ribosomal RNA". It matches the Rfam family "Bacterial small subunit ribosomal RNA", at positions 338 to 795 of the family's 1533-position model. The record is from RNAcentral.
CCUACGGGCGGCAGCAGUGAGGAAUAUUGGUCAAUGGACGAGAGUCUGAACCAGCCAAGUAGCGUGAAGGAUGACUGCCCUAUGGGUUGUAAACUUCUUUUAUAUGGGAAUAAAAUGUUCCACGUGUGGGAUUUUGUAUGUACCAUAUGAAUAAGGAUCGGCUAACUCCGUGCCAGCAGCCGCGGUAAUACGGAGGAUCCGAGCGUUAUCCGGAAUUAUUGGGUUUAAAGGGAGCGUAGGUGGAUUGUUAAGUCAGUUGUGAAAGUUUGCGGCUCAACCGUAAAAUUGCAGUUGAAACUGGCAGUCUUGAGUACAGUAGAGGUGGGCGGAAUUCGUGGUGUAGCGGUGAAAUGCUUAGAUAUCACGAAGAACUCCGAUUGCGAAGGCAGUUCACUGGACUGCAACUGACACUGAGGCUCGAAAGUGUGGGUAUCAAACAGGAUUAGAUACCCUAGUAGUC